GGGCCCAUAGCUCAGUCGGCAGAGCAGCGGACUCAUAAUCCGCGGGUCCCAGGUUCGAGCCCUGGUGGGCCCA
This 73-nucleotide transfer RNA is filed under the name Candidatus Brocadiia bacterium. RNAcentral's name for it is "tRNA-Ile". It matches the Rfam family "tRNA". From Rfam's summary of the family: Transfer RNA (tRNA) molecules are approximately 80 nucleotides in length. The record is from RNAcentral. Lineage: Bacteria; Pseudomonadati; Planctomycetota; Candidatus Brocadiia. RNAcentral also lists the same sequence under 1 other name.